RNAcentral lists this ribosomal RNA (406 nucleotides) under Agama picticauda. RNAcentral describes it as "partial 16S ribosomal RNA". It matches the Rfam family "Bacterial large subunit ribosomal RNA", at positions 1925 to 2561 of the family's 2925-position model. Lineage: Eukaryota; Metazoa; Chordata; Lepidosauria; Squamata; Agamidae. The record is from RNAcentral.
AAACGGCCGCGAGACUCAACCGUGCGAAGGUAGCGAAAUCACUUGUCUCCUAAAUAGAGACCUGUAUGAAAGGCCCAAUGAGAAAGAAACUGUCUCUUGAAGUUGGCCAAUGAAACUGAUCUGCCCGUGCAAAAGCAGGCAUAACAAAACAAGACAAAAAGACCCUGUGAAACUUAAAAUAAACGCCAAUCACAUGUCGAUAUUUUUAGGUUGGGGCAACCAAAGAGAAACAAAACCUCUAAAAUACAUUAGACUAACAAGUCCAACCAAACCAAUAUGACCCAGUAAGACUGAUUAAUGAACCAAGCUACUCCAGGGAUAACAGCGCCAAAUUCUUGAAGAGUCCACAUCAACAAGAAUCCCUACGACCUCGAUGUUGGAUCAGGAUAACCCAACAGCGCAAAAG